RNAcentral lists this ribosomal RNA (459 nucleotides) under uncultured bacterium. RNAcentral describes it as "partial 16S ribosomal RNA". It matches the Rfam family "Bacterial small subunit ribosomal RNA", at positions 338 to 795 of the family's 1533-position model. The record is from RNAcentral.
CCUACGGGAGGCAGCAGUGAGGAAUAUUGGUCAAUGGUAGAGAUCCUGAACCAGCCAAGCCGCGUGAGGGAAGACGGUCCAAUGGGUCGUAAACCUCUUUUGUCGGGGAACAAAACCCGGGACGUGUCCCGGACUGCGUGUAUCCGAAGAAAAAGCAUCGGCUAACUCCGUGCCAGCAGCCGCGGUAAUACGGAGGAUGCGAGCGUUAUCCGGAUUUAUUGGGUUUAAAGGGUGCGUAGGCGGUCCGUUAAGUCAGCGGUAAAAUUGCGGGGCUCAACCCCGGCGAGCCGUUGAAACUGGCAGACUUGAGUUGGCGAGAAGUACGCGGAAUGCGCGGUGUAGCGGUGAAAUGCAUAGAUAUCGCGCAGAACUCCGAUUGCGAAGGCAGCAUACCGGCUCCAAACUGACGCUGAGGCACGAAAGCGUGGGGAUCGAACAGGAUUAGAUACCCCAGUAGUC